Dendronephthya gigantea is the source of this 990-nucleotide long non-coding RNA. RefSeq lists it as uncharacterized. The transcript has 2 exons. Lineage: Eukaryota; Metazoa; Cnidaria; Anthozoa; Malacalcyonacea; Nephtheidae. The record is from RefSeq and is a predicted model, not a curated record.
GCAGCGCUGUAUUUCCGAAUUCCCGAGGAAGACAAGGAAGAUAUUUAUGCCACUAAGGUGGUGGCACGUAUUAUCUAUUAAAUUACAUGUUCACAUAGAAAUGGAUGUUCAAAUGGAAAUGAUACAACCGAACAAAUGAGGAUUUUUUUGUGACAAAUCGAACGUUACAUAUGUUGUAUAUCCAUGGCACGGCGUAUAAAUGGAAAUUGGCGUUGUAUGAUUCAUGAACCACGAUGUAUGCCAAGGCAGUGACUUUGACGCAAAAAUGACGAACUUAUACUCGUAGUCACUGCUAAAGCUUACAAUUAUUCAAGUUCAUAAUGGUUUGGUUAUAUGAGAUGUUGUCCUUUCAUAUGCGAAACUGGUCAAAGAGUUUAUAGAGGUUCUUAAACAGAGCCAAGAUGGCGAUCAUUAUUAAAAGUUCCCAAAAUGAUCCUACAUCGUUGCUUUGUGACAGUGAAGAGACGAGCUGGACAAAUAUUGCAAGAAAGAUAUCAAAGCAGACGAUCAAACGAAAAACGAAAUGCAAACGGGAAUAAAGACCUGAGGUCAAGAAAAAGCAGCCAUUUUGACACAGAGAGAGACGACAUGGACGCCAUUAGCGCAGAGAUGAUGAAUCUCGCCAAGGAACUUGAAACUACGACGAAAAACGAAACGACUUUGUAAAUAUGAUAUCAAACCUCUUCACCAAAUUUCUCACCAAAGUUUAUAUCGACAUUUGGGACAUUAGAGACAUGUUGUCUUGAAAAAGCGAAACUAGUUUAUAAAUGGUAUCAUCACGUAUCUAAAUUUGUCUGUCAUCUAAUUUUUAUCGAAUUUCAUCAAAAUUUUAUCGAGUUCCCUUGUUCUGUUGUGAACUUUUUGACGGUUCUUUCAUUUCCCAACAAAUACAAUCCAAACCUGUUCAGUUUCGCUGACAGGCCGGGCAGCUAUUUUGUCAACAAAUAAAUUCAACUUUCAUAUAUUAAUUAUCAUUAUGAAUAAACUUUU